This is a long non-coding RNA of Apis dorsata (giant honeybee), 405 nucleotides long. RefSeq lists it as uncharacterized. Lineage: Eukaryota; Metazoa; Arthropoda; Insecta; Hymenoptera; Apidae. The record is from RefSeq and is a predicted model, not a curated record. The transcript has 3 exons.
UUUUAUAUUUCCUUAUUUGUAUGUCACUAUAAUUUGCAAUAGCUGUUAUAUCUUAGAAAUUUAUAUCGAGUGAAUGUUUAGAUAAUGCUAUUGAUCAAAGCGAACAAUUGAUAAUUUCAAUUUUUACUCGGUAUGAAUUGUGAUAUGAUUGCAUUUGUUUACAACAUUGUUAAAUUAUGUGAUUCUCUCAUACGCAGAAUUUAAAAUGAGACGAUGAUACCUUCAGUUCUUCGUUUUCUUGAUGCAAAUCUGUCGCUUCCUCGGAUACUAAACCGAUUCCAUUUAAAGAGAAACUCGCUGUGACACCUCGGGCUCUAGCACGACUAUCCCAUUGAUCUCCUUGACCACGUAAAACUCGAAUCACCUGAAAUAUAAUUAAUGAUCUUUUAAAAAGAAUCUAUUCUU